RNAcentral lists this ribosomal RNA (415 nucleotides) under uncultured Acidobacterium sp. RNAcentral's name for it is "bacterial SSU rRNA". It matches the Rfam family "Bacterial small subunit ribosomal RNA", at positions 64 to 473 of the family's 1533-position model. The record is from RNAcentral. Lineage: Bacteria; Pseudomonadati; Acidobacteriota; Terriglobia; Terriglobales; Acidobacteriaceae.
GAACGAGAAAGCCCGCAAGGGUGAGUAAAGUGGCGAACGGGUGAGUAACACGUAGCUAACCUGCCCUCGAGUGGGGAAUAACCUGGGGAAACUCGGGCUAAUACCGCGGUACAUCCCGGUUGCACAAGUAGCCGGGAUCAAAGGCCCGCAAGGGCCGCUCGUGGAGGGGGCUGCGGCCGAUUAGCUAGUUGGCGGGGUAACGGCCCACCAAGGCGAUGAUCGGUAGCCGGCCUGAGAGGGCGCACGGUCACACUGGCACUGAAACACGGGCCAGACUCCUACGGGAGGCAGCAGUGGGGAAUUUUGCACAAUGCCCGAAAGGGUGAUGCAGCAACGCCGCGUGAGGGAUGAAGGCCUUCGGGUCGUAAACCUCUUUCGACCGGGAAAAAUGGGCGCGUGAAGAGCGCGUUCUGAU